Molecule: ribosomal RNA, 278 nt
Filed under: uncultured bacterium
Lineage: Bacteria
Description: partial 16S ribosomal RNA
Rfam family: Bacterial small subunit ribosomal RNA
Source: RNAcentral
AGCGAACGCUGGCGGCAGGCCUAACACAUGCAAGUCGAGCGGGCACCUUCGGGUGUCAGCGGCAGACGGGUGAGUAACACGUGGGAACGUGCCCUUUGGUUCGGGACAACUCCGGGAAACUGGAGCUAAUACCGGAUAAGCCCUUCGGGGGAAGAUUUAUCGCCAAAGGAUCGGCCCGCGUCUGAUUAGCUAGUUGGUGAGGUAACGGCUCACCAAGGCGACGAUCAGUAGCUGGUCUGAGAGGAUGAUCAGCCACACUGGGACUGAGACACGGCCCA